This 2494-nucleotide long non-coding RNA is filed under the name Musa acuminata (dwarf banana). Its description in RNAcentral is "long non-coding RNA (MACU_LNC000906)". Lineage: Eukaryota; Viridiplantae; Streptophyta; Magnoliopsida; Zingiberales; Musaceae. The record is from RNAcentral.
AUAAAAGUGGAGUCUUUAUUUCUUGAGGCUUACCAAAUCAUAAGAAUAAAAGCCGUUUAUGGAUUUAAAAGAGUCACAUAGGUAUGUUUACAACACAGCGACUGCUGCUACUGCUAUUCCACCCCAUGCAUAGACAAAGAAGGCCUCGUCUCCGAUAUGUUUCCAUCAAUCACAAAAACCACACACUCAGACGGGGUACAAGCAGCUCCCAUCGUCGCUCCUGGCCGUCGGAUCAAAGUUUGUGGCAAUCGGAUCAGUGCACCCUUCUGGAACUGGGACGCCCACCUGUUGAGCUGCUUUCCCUGCAUACGGGUAGUAAGCUUAACGCAUCAGCUAUGGCCGCAAAGCACCAUAUCUUUUGUACGUAAGAGACAGGAUGACAUAGAGAGUGCGAACCGUAGAACUGUCCCGUGUUAAUGGCGUCCUCAUUGGCGUCUCCCAGCGCGGCCUCGCUCAGGUACUUGUCGGCCAGCUGCACCCUCUUCACGUUCUCUUGCUCCUUCACCAGCAUGUUACCGUACUCCAUUAGCUUGGCGAGGCUCAUCUUGGGCUGGUCGAACGUCGGCGGUCCUUCCAGUGAGUUGACUAACUUCUUGUUCACGCUUUCAACCCCGAUCUCUGCAACCCAUUUCCUCACCUCAUCAUCAUACACCCUGGCUCGGACGGCGCCAAAGAAGUCUGCAUUACAUAAGCAACAUCAGCUAAGUUCGAUGCUAAAGAUCGAGUCUGAUGAACGCCCAGCUUCAUUUUCAUUUUGGGUUUCGGGAAGCUUACCGAUGGACUGGCCGGGGAACGAAUCGACGAGCUUGACAAUGUCCUCCUUGGCGACAUUGUCGGUCCUAAAUAUUCCGGCGCAGACGCCGAUGCGGUCCUCUCUGGUUGGCGCCCAGUAGAACUUCUCCAUACGACCAUCACGAAUGAGCGGAGCAUAGAGGGUGGAGAAGUCGUUUCCGGUGACGAUGAUGGGAACGCGGGGGUUCUCCUGCUUGUUGUACAUUCCCGGGAGCUGCACGUUGGUUGGGUUAUCGGCGAUGUUCAUGAGGGUGGCGUUCACCAUCUGGUUGUUGACCGUGUACUGGGUAGUGCCGCCGAGCCGCCCAGCUCCGGCGUCGAGAUCGUUGAUGAAGAGGCAGCACAUCUUCCCCUUCUUGAUGAUUUCGGCUGCCUCCCGGUACCUUUGCCUGAUCAAUUUUGCAGGCUCUCCUGCAUUCCCACUUUCCAGUUCUCCGGCACUCAUCAUUAUAGGGCUGCAAACAGGACGGUUAAAUCGAUCAUGAGCCUCCGAGGAAUUCACAAUGGCUUCAAACUAGCUACCAAGAAUCUAAUCAUACGACACAAGUGUUUGAUCCUUCUACAAGGUGGGGAAACACAGAAAUUGACUCAGAUAUCAGAUCAGGGUGUUCAUAGAAUCAGAGUGCCUCACAUGAAUAUGUUCAAAAUGUGUACUGAUUCAUUACAGGUGCAACAAUUGAAAUUGUAAAAAUGAAUGAUCGAUUGCUUAGAAUCCAAUCUUUCUCAUGCUGACAGAUUUAUAAUUAAUCGCAGGCAUUGUCUUCACAUCUUUAAGGGCAAAUGCCAAAAGGGAGAAAAGAUGAUGGACAACGAUGAUUUUACAAAGUCAGGUCGGAUGUCAUGGAACUCAGAUUAAAAUACAAGAGGACAUAUUGAUGGUGAAACUUCCAUGCAGAGAAACAGCAUACAAGUAUGAAUCUUGUCAAUGGCACCAUAUCAAGCAUAGGUUAGCAGUUGCAGAACAGAGACACAGCGGCAGCUAAGUUGUUAAUUUACUUAAAUAUGUAAAUUAAGGGUCUUUUAACACUACAGUGAUGAAAUUUACUUGUUAGCAAACUCUCUGUUCUAUGGGUUUGUAUGAACAAUUUGUUCUGGUUCAAAGGAACAAAAACUGAGUCGUAAAGAUUAUAGUGUCAAAGAUUCAUUGGUAGUAGCAUGUGUGGAUCGUAUAAUGAUGGAUCAGAGGUAUGUGGAAAAAGUUGUGAUAUCUCAAUUCUCUAAGAUUUGCAGUAUGUUCAAUGCUUACAGGAUUGAAGAACAAAGAAAUAUCUGCUUCUUUAAGCAGUUCAUCAUGCUCAAAUCAAUGAUUCAACCACAUGAUACGAGCUUACUUGAUUCCCAUCUUGGCGAACACGAGCUCACACUGGAAGGAUUUCCCCUGCCCUUUGCCUCCCCAGAUACCCAAAAUCAAUGGAACCUGUCAACAAAUCUUCGCAGUGAGAUUCACAUCGAACAUGUAUCAGUGCACCACCAACGAGAACAAUGAUCACCUUGAUGUUGGGCAAGUUCAUGAAGUUCUUGGAGAUGUGAACAACAAGUUUGUCCAUGAAAGCGGGAGCGAUGUAGAAUCCAUCCAUGGUGUUGUCGAGGUUGUACCUAACAUCACAACAGUAGUCAAGGCCCUGUCUCUACGAAGCAGACACAGAGAAAUGCCAUGGAGCUGCAUAGAGAAGAGGUUGUUGCAGUUGUCUUACUGACGGAG